GCUCAGUAACACGUGGAUAACAUGCCCUAGAGUGGAGGAUAAUCUCGGGAAAUUGAGGAUAAUACUCUAUAGAUCAUGGAAUUUGGAACAAUUCAUGAUCGAAAGUUCCGGCGCUCUAGGAUUGGUCUGCGGCCUAUCAGGUAGCAGUGGGUGUAACGGACCCACUAGCCGAUAACGGGUAUGGGCCUUGAGAGAGGGAGCCCAGAGAUGGAAUCUGAGACACGAUUCCAGGCCCUACGGGGCGCAGCAGUCGCGAAAACUUCACAAUGGAGGCAACUCCGAUGAGGGAAUUCCAAGUGCUAGCACAUUAGUGUUAGCUUUUCUUGAGUAUAGAUAGCUUAAGGAAUAAGGGCUGGGUAAGACGGGUGCCAGCCGCCGCGGUAAUACCCGCAGCCCGAGUGGUGGUCGAUUUUAUUGAGUCUAAAACGUUCGUAGCCGGUUCAUUAAAUCCUUGGGUAAAUCGGGUGGCUUAACUAUCCGAAUUCCGAGGAGACUGGUGAACUUGGGACCGGGAGAGGCAAGAGGUACUUUUGGGGUAGGGGUAAAAUCCUGUAAUCCUGAAAGGACCACCGGUGGCGAAGGCGUCUUGCUAGAACGGAUCCGACGGUGAGGGACGAAGCCCUGGGUCGCAAACGGGAUUAGAUACCCCGGUAGUCCAGGGUGUAAACGCUGCAGACUUGGUGUUGGGGACCCUUCGGGGGUGUUCAGUGCCGGAGAGAAGUUGUUAAGUCUGCUACUUGGGG
RNAcentral lists this ribosomal RNA (743 nucleotides) under uncultured archaeon. RNAcentral's name for it is "bacterial SSU rRNA". It matches the Rfam family "Archaeal small subunit ribosomal RNA", at positions 88 to 833 of the family's 1478-position model. The record is from RNAcentral.